Molecule: ribosomal RNA, 468 nt
Filed under: uncultured bacterium
Lineage: Bacteria
Description: partial 16S ribosomal RNA
Rfam family: Bacterial small subunit ribosomal RNA
Source: RNAcentral
GAUGAACGCUGGCGGCGUGCUUAACACAUGCAAGUCGAACGGAAAGGCCCUGCUUGUGUGGGGCGCUUGAGUGGCGCACGGGUGAGUAACACGUGCGUAACUUGACCUUGACUUUCGGAUAACUUCAGGAAACUGGGGCUAAUACCGGAUAGGCGCUCCUGCUGCAUGGUGGGGGUUGGAAAGUUUCGGCGGUUGGGGCUGGACUGGCGGCUUACCAGCUUGUAGGUGGGGUAGUGGCUUACCAAGGAUUUGACGGGUAGUCGGCCUGAGAGGGUGACCGGCCACAUUGCGACUGAGAUACGGCGCAGACUCCUACGGGAGGCAGUAGUGGGAAAUAUUGCAGAAUGAGCGGAAGCGUGAUGCAGCAACGCGGCGUGAGGAAUGAAGGCCUUCGGGUUGUAAACCGCUUUCGCCUGUGACGAAGCGAGAGUGAAGGUAAUUGGUAAAGAAGCACCGGCUAACUACGUG